Long non-coding RNA from Triticum dicoccoides, 527 nucleotides. RefSeq lists it as uncharacterized. NCBI's taxonomy places the organism in Eukaryota, Viridiplantae, Streptophyta, Magnoliopsida, Poales, Poaceae. The transcript has 3 exons. The record is from RefSeq and is a predicted model, not a curated record.
AGCCAAUUUAUUGGCUAAUUCGAAUUCGUCUAUACAAUUCAUAAAAUUCUUUCUUAUUUCUUAUUGUUGAAAUCCAAAAUUAAAGUCUCUUGGCUCUCUUCACGCUUUCUCACAAAAAGAUUAAAAAAUAGAUUUUUAUUUUUGAAGUUUGGAUAAACCAUUGCUUCGUCUGGUGUCUACAAUACAUAUAACUCAUUAUAGUACUAAUUUCAUUUUUACCAGAUCGAAAAAUUUUAUGUUGAAAAGAAAAAUUUAUAGAUCCAAUGUCACAUUCCGUAAAAAAUUACGAUACAUGUAUAGGAUGCACUCAAUGUGUACGAGCUUGUCCAACAGAUGUAUUAUAAAUGAUACCCUGGGAUGGAUGUAAAGCCAAGCAAAUUUCUUCCGCACCGAGAACCAAAGAUUGUGUGGGUUGUAAGAGAUGUGAAUCUGCGUGCCCGACAGAUUUUUUAAGUGUCCGCGUUUAUUUAGGGCCUGAAACAACACGUAGCAUGGCUCUAUCUUAUUGAUACAUCGAAAGAGCACAC